RNAcentral lists this small RNA (134 nucleotides) under Aspergillus rambellii. RNAcentral's name for it is "A. fumigatus sRNA Afu_254". It matches the Rfam family "A. fumigatus sRNA Afu_254". The record is from Rfam by way of RNAcentral. Lineage: Eukaryota; Fungi; Ascomycota; Eurotiomycetes; Eurotiales; Aspergillaceae.
AUCCAAAGCCUCUCUACCUCUUCCCUUUUCAAAAAACCACUCUCCACCGCAAAUCAAGAUGUCUCCCUGCUCUUGCAACUGCUGUUCUGGCGACUGCAGCUCCUGCUCCUGCGGCUCCUGCAGCGUAAGUCCCU